UACGGGGGGGGCAAGCGUUGUUCGGAAUUACUGGGCGUAAAGGGCUCGUAGGCGGCCAACUAAGUCGGAUGUGAAAUCCCCAGGCUUAACCUGGGAACUGCAUCCGAUACUGGAUGGCUUGAAUUCGGGAGAGGGAUGCAGAAUUCCAGGUGUAGCGGUGAAAUGCGUAGAUAUCUGGAGGAAUACCGGUGGCGAAGGCGGCAUCCUGGACCGAGAUUGACGCUGAUGAGCGAAAGCGUGGGUAGCAAACAGG
This 253-nucleotide ribosomal RNA is filed under the name uncultured bacterium. RNAcentral describes it as "partial 16S ribosomal RNA". It matches the Rfam family "Bacterial small subunit ribosomal RNA", at positions 524 to 776 of the family's 1533-position model. The record is from RNAcentral.